UUCAAGUCUGCUGACAAUCUGUAAUGGUCGCUCGUUUGAUUGAAGGACUAACUGAAAUAUGGUGUCAGAUGCCUGAAACAGGCCUCCGGUUGAGAUGCGUCUCCACAACCUCCGUCUUUUCUUGUUAUCUCCUCUGUAUCAGUUAUUCAGGAAUGAUUAAUCCACAGAGCUGGCUGAGCUCCAGUGUGCUGGGAUGAAGACAUGGCCAGCGGAGGGUGGGUCAGGGCAGGGGUGGAGGUUGGACGUGACAGGAGUGGUGCCAUCAGCAGGAGGCAGCUCAUGGACUAACAGCAGCUGUCUGACCUCAGCCUUGGCAGUGCCCCAGUUUCCCAACAAACACCAAUGAAGAACACACUAAAGCUAGACCUCGCGAUCAGUAUGGACAGCAGCAGCCACAUGCCAAUUCAUUUGCCCUUUCACUUGAAAAAGAGUCCACUCCUGACUUUCUGAAUUCGGGACCAGGAUGAAAAGCCCAUUCUGAACAUUUUCUUUUCUGUGAUUUCAUUAUAUUUUUAUUGGACCACAUAUAUUUUUAAUGUGGCAGUGUGAUAUCCCCUGCAAGGUUAGAUAUGGUGCAUUGUUCAAAGAGUGAAACAGCAGCUUUUGGCUAUAGCAGUGCAGUACAGUGCUUUCACUUCAGUAACACAGGAUGAGAAUUGUAUUGCAAAACGUGCAUGCAAAUGCGCAUGAGUGCGCACAUACGCAUGAUGAAAAAUUAUUAAUGCCAAAGUGAAAUGCCAGAGCCUGCACACACAUGAAAUACAAUGCACAUGUGAAGAUUAAUGUACCGCUAACCUGAUUUGCUUCUUGCUUCUAGUCAGCUGCAUCGCAUUUCUCUUUGUGUAUUGCUUUUUGCUUUGGGAAUAUUGCUUUUUGAUGACUGCAUAUUGCAUUUUGCUUCAUGUAUUGAGAUUUAAAUUUGAACGUAUUGCUUUUCAAAGUCUGUAUCUGUCAAUCACUCUCCAGGGGUGGGCUGGGCACUGAGGAGUGGUCCAGCCCCCUUUUUCUUGAUUUUUCCAUUUCUUUUUCAGUUCUCAUUUAUCAGUCAUUCCUCGAGCCAAAAUAUUAAUUUCAAAAUUAGACAGACAGCUUGUACACAUUCGUGCCAGAAACAGUAACAAAGAAAUAAUUGUGCGGAACAUGAGCAUUUUUCGUCUGAUCAUACCCUAGCCACUCGCAAUCUAACCACUUUUCAUUGAACAACUUGUUCUUUUACUUUGCCUGCUCUUGUUAUUUCCUGUCCUUGUCCUCAUUUCUCUUUUUUUGUUGUCUGAUCGAUUGUUUCUCCUGGUCUUUUCACACCCAAUAUAUGCUGCCACCUUGUAACAUUUUUACUGUCAUAUUAGCUUGCUGGCUAAUGUUAGCUAGAUAAUGUUAGGUGGCCAGCAGCAUUUGUUCAACUUUCACACACUGACUGACGAGGCAAGACGCAAGAGGGUGAAACGGACGGGCCAAUGGGAUGAGCACACAGUGUGCACCCAGUGCUCAUGGGAUUUGCCUUUUAUAAACUACAAUGAUUUUUUAAAAUAGAAAAUGCUACCCAAAGAUCACCCAUGAAAAUGGUUGGUAAGUGUAACAAAGUUAACACCAAAUUCUACCCAAUUCUACCCCC
This is a long non-coding RNA of Anguilla anguilla (European eel), 1612 nucleotides long. RefSeq lists it as uncharacterized. The record is from RefSeq and is a predicted model, not a curated record. Lineage: Eukaryota; Metazoa; Chordata; Actinopteri; Anguilliformes; Anguillidae. The transcript is spliced from 3 exons.